Cavia porcellus (domestic guinea pig) is the source of this 2397-nucleotide long non-coding RNA. RefSeq lists it as uncharacterized. The record is from RefSeq and is a predicted model, not a curated record. NCBI's taxonomy places the organism in Eukaryota, Metazoa, Chordata, Mammalia, Rodentia, Caviidae. The transcript is spliced from 2 exons.
CAGCGUCGGGCGGGGCUCGGCGACCACGACAGCGCCGAAUCCAGAGCUUCCGCCAGAGGGGCGGGGCCUGCGACGCGAGGGGAAUCCGUCUGCGCGUGCGCUGUUUGCGAGCCUCCGCCUUCUCAAGGCGGCCACGGAAAAAGGGGGCGGGUUUGGGGGGGAAAAAAAAUGUGACGAUGGCUCCGCCCCCUCGCCUCGGCGUGGCCUCUCCAGGAGCUGGGAAGACGCGGCAGGCGUGGUGGACUGCGGAGAGGAAGACAGAGUGGUGCAGUUUGGCGUUAGCUCAUUCAAGGAGGUCGCGAGCUGGAGCAAGUGGUUAGAAGGCGGCUGCUCCUUCCCCUGCGCCGCCCUAGUCCUCUCGUUCCGGGUCAGGCACUCCUUUCUCCUAGCUCUGGGAAAAGGUUGCUGUCCAGGUUCGACUGAAAGAACCUCCUCAAAACUGAGACUGCCAAAGUAGAAGUAAUCAUCCUGUAGAAAUCAACUGCUCUCUCAAGCAAUGACUUUACAAAUUUUUUUCCAGACUUUACAAAAUUACAACUGAGAUAAAACCAUUCGGACUUCUGGGAGAACAUGGUGGAUAGAUAACAGCAGCUAUGGAGGCUCUCUCAGUUAGCCAGCUUAGAAUCCAGGAAUGGUGCAGUAUGAGGAGUCCUAAACAAGGGGAGAUAUACCCUGCCAACCCAGGAACGAAUUAAGCUGAGAGAAACCAACUGGAAAUGUAAUCCCGGUGCUAUUACUGGAACGGAUAAAAUCUCAGCACGGAAGCUGGAACCCGCGCCUCUGUAAAUCGUGAUUUGAAUUUCCUGCCACCACUGCUGCAUCUGAAUCGACACAGCAGUGACAGAGAUGUAAAACCUCUGAGAGCGGAAAUCAGUGAAUGGAGUUGAGAGGGACUGGCGGGGAGCCCUGCAUCAACCUGCCAUGGUGAGUGAGAGAAACGGGGACCCCUCCAUAGAUAAGGAGGCGCCAACAGAGGACAUUCUGGGACUGGGCAGACUAGCCGGAACAGGACACUGCAGUGACUUCAGUUACAUAUUCCCCUCCAAAGCGGGAUUGGUGGGGAGCACUUGGCCUGGGUGAUGCUGUGGACUAAGACCCAGUAGGCUAGCCCAAACCAGGUCCCACCCCUGGUGGUGCACCCUACCAGUGCAGUCUUCAGUAGGUUGACCUGGAGGAGCAGGCCCAGCAGAGGCUGCCCAGGUAUGUGUCUCCCUAGUACACUGCAGUGGGCGGGAACACCUAGCCGGUACAAUUCAAACAAAUUGUAACCAACAAAGAAAGAAACUGGGCCUCCUAUAUAUGCUUGUAUGGAACAAAAAGUAUGGGAAGAGGGAGCAACAAGAAAGGGUCCUUGGCCCCCAAUCCUGAGAACACUGAUCCAGGAAAGGUAAAUGCAAAGGAGAAUGAGAACAGAAAACAUGUAAUAUCAGACACGGCACCAACAGACAUAAAGCGAUAUCUCCAGAGCCUCAUAGAUGAGUUCAAAACUGAAGUAUUUAAAGAAGUAAAGCAAGAUAUAAGUAGAACAGUUAGAGAAAUGCUAAGCAUCGCCCAAGAAAAAACAGAUGGUGGAAUGGAAGAACAGAAAAAAAAGGGGAGAAUUGUUUGAUGGAGAAAAUAGAGAAAACAUAGAAUACGUGAAGCAGGUUCAAAGAGAUUACCAGGAAACUAAAAACUCUAUUGAAAGCUGGCAUAACAGCUUGAAAGAAACUAAGGAUAGGUUAUUUGAACUGGAGAACAGAUUUGUAAUGUGGGAGCAUGAAAUGAAAAACUUCUUAAAAAUAACAAGGAAACAAACAGCAAUAAUAGAAAGGCUUGAAGAUAAGAGGAUCUAUAACUUAAGAAUUAAGAAUGUAAAAGAAGUAGGGACACAAACAAAUGAACUACAAAGACUAGUCACAAAAAUAAUCCAGGAAAAUUUUCCUAAUUUAGCAAAAGGUAAAGAUACUCAGAGGUAUGAGGCAUACAGGACCCCAGCCAACUACAACCCAAACAAAGCUACACCCAGGCAUAUAAUAAUCAAAAUUCCAGAAAUCCAAUAUAAGAACAGAAUACUAAAAGCUGUCAGAGACAAGAAACAAAUCACUUACAAGGGAACAUCUAUCAGAAUUACAGCAGACUUCUUGGCACAAACCAUCAAAUCAUGAAUAGCCUGGGGGGAAAUAAUUCAAGCUUUGAAAGAUAAUAAUCUCCAGCCAAGAUUGAGAUAUCCUGCACAACUGUCCCUAGAAAUUGAUGGAAAAACAAGGUGCUUCCAGGAUAAAGAGGAACUAGGGGAAUUUGCAACCACCAAUUCAACUCUGCAGAGAAUACUGCAGGACAUUCUAAAAAAUGAAAAAUACCAAAAUUCCAGAAACAGUGGCAGAGAGGCCACAAUGAAUGGAGCAGAAAGCAAAA